CCACCAUCUUAGAUAAACUAUUUUUUUAAGAAUAUGACGUUCUGACUCACAAUCAUAUUGUGAUCUUAUGGAAAUUAAAAGUAUCCCAUUGAUUCUUUUGAAUACUCUAUAAAGCGAGCUAUUAUAGAUCUAUCCUCUAAUUUAUCAGUCAUCUGUCUCUUGACAUAGACUGGACUCCUCAAGUCUUAAGAUAACCUAGACUUGACUUCUUACCAUACCAUAUCUCAUAUGGUG
This 234-nucleotide long non-coding RNA is filed under the name Elaeis guineensis (African oil palm). RNAcentral's name for it is "long non-coding RNA (EGUI_LNC023004)". Lineage: Eukaryota; Viridiplantae; Streptophyta; Magnoliopsida; Arecales; Arecaceae. The record is from RNAcentral.